GACUCGAUAUAAGAAGGGGCU
This 21-nucleotide non-coding RNA is filed under the name Arabidopsis thaliana (thale cress). The record is from RNAcentral. Lineage: Eukaryota; Viridiplantae; Streptophyta; Magnoliopsida; Brassicales; Brassicaceae.